This 24-nucleotide unclassified non-coding RNA is filed under the name Mus musculus (house mouse). RNAcentral's name for it is "oocyte_clustered_small_RNA12264". The record is from RNAcentral. Lineage: Eukaryota; Metazoa; Chordata; Mammalia; Rodentia; Muridae.
UAGUAAGGUGACCACCUCUCUCUC